GACGAACGCUGGCGGCGUGCCUAAUACAUGCGAGUAGAACGCUGAAGGAGGAGCUUGCUCUUCUGGAUGAGUUGCGAACGGGUGAGUAACGCGUAGGUAACCUGCCUGGUAGCGGGGGAUAACUAUUGGAAACGAUAGCUAAUACCGCAUAAGAGUAGAUGUUGCAUGACAUUUACUUAAAAGGUGCAAUUGCAUCACUACCAGAUGGACCUGCGUUGUAUUAGCUAGUUGGUGGGGUAACGGCUUACCAAGGCGACGAUACAUAGCCGACCUGAGAGGGUGAUCGGCCACACUGGGACGGAGACACGGCCCAGACUCCUACGGGAGGAAGCAGUAGGGAAUCUUCGGCAAUGGACGGAAGUCUGACCGAGCAACGCCGCGGGAGGGAAGAAGGAUUUCGGAUCGUAAAGCUCGGUUGUAAGAGAAGAACGAGUGUGAGAGUGGAAAGUUCACACUGUGACGGUAUCUUACCAGAAAGGGACGGCUAACUACGUG
This 495-nucleotide ribosomal RNA is filed under the name uncultured bacterium. RNAcentral's name for it is "partial 16S ribosomal RNA". It matches the Rfam family "Bacterial small subunit ribosomal RNA", at positions 28 to 507 of the family's 1533-position model. The record is from RNAcentral.